Molecule: ribosomal RNA, 482 nt
Filed under: uncultured bacterium
Lineage: Bacteria
Description: partial 16S ribosomal RNA
Rfam family: Bacterial small subunit ribosomal RNA
Source: RNAcentral
AUUGAACGCUGGCGGCAUGCCUUACACAUGCAAGUCGAACGGUAACGGGCCUUCGGGUGCCGACGAGUGGCGAACGGGUGAGUAAUACAUCGGAACGUGCCCGAUCGUGGGGGAUAACGAGGCGAAAGCUUUGCUAAUACCGCAUACGAUCUACGGACGAAAGCAGGGGACCGCAAGGCCUUGCGCGGACGGAGCGGCCGAUGGCAGAUUAGGUAGUUGGUGGGAUAAAAGCUUACCAAGCCGACGAUCUGUAGCUGGUCUGAGAGGAUGAUCAGCCACACUGGGACUGAGACACGGCCCAGACUCCUACGGGAGGCAGCAGUGUGGAAUUUUGGACAAUGGGCGCAAGCCUGAUCCAGCCAUGCCGCGUGCAGGAUGAAGGCCUUCGGGUUGUAAACUGCUUUUGUACGGAACGAAAAGCCUUCUUUUAAUACAGGAGGGUCAUGACGGUACCGUAAGAAUAAGCACCGGCUAACUACGUG